This is a long non-coding RNA of Oreochromis aureus, 588 nucleotides long. NCBI's taxonomy places the organism in Eukaryota, Metazoa, Chordata, Actinopteri, Cichliformes, Cichlidae. The record is from Ensembl.
GUCUGCAAACAAGCUUCAGCUGGCAGACUCCUCCUCCUCCUCCUCCUCCUGCUGACUGCUAUACACCCUAAAAUGGGAAAACUCCGCGAGGUGAAGAAAGCACGAGAGUUAUCAUUAUGGGGAACUUUGUAAAAGAGUCCCAGAGGAUCUCAGUGACGCUGUGAUGGUGGAUGUUACUGUGCUGGGAAACUACAAAUGUCAGACUGCAUCUCUGAGAGUCUGCUGCUCUCUGACUCUGCAGUGAACACAGGGGGGCGCCUGUGAGUGCAGUGAUGAGCUCUCUCAGGCUUCAGCUUCACAUGUUUGAACUGUGGACAAAGUGAUGAGAUUUUCUGCUUCUGAGGAAGUGAAGAAGAACCUGACGGGCACUGUGGGAGGAAACAUCACUCUACCUGCACCUGUGCUGGAGAAAGGAUAUCUGUUAUAUGGAAGAAAGAAUAUUGCUCAUGUGAUUAAGGGGGGAUUUGACAUAUCAGAGGACAUUUACAAGAACAGACUUCAGUGGGACAGAAACUCUGGACUCUUUACACUCACAGAGCUGCAGAGGAACGACUCAGGGAGUUAUACUGUCGACUCUAAAACAGGAAA